CUUUUCCUUCGUUUCUCCUCCCCUUUCCUCACGCUGAUCUCCUCCUCCUCUUCAUCGCGUCGCCUACACCCGACGUCGCCGCCUCACUGCAGACGUUGAUCGUUGGCCACUGGCGGUUUGAGCUCUCAACAUCGUUUCCCUUCCGAUCUCAGUCUCCUCGCGCCGAGCAGCAUCGUCGCCACUCCAAUCUGGAGCCGUGCCCUAACUUCGAUCCACCGCCAGCCUACUCGUGCUCCACUCCCUAAGUGUCGGUGCCUAUCGACGGUCGCUGCUCCUCUCCUUCUCAUCACCGACGGUCAUCCAAGCCUUGUUCUAGCAGCCAACCUCCCUUCUGGCAUCCCAUCUUUGGUCGCAGAUACAAAAGGGACUUCCGACAGCCAAGCUUUCGAUCGUGCCCUAGAACUACCUUCGAGACACCUCUUCCUGAUCUGGCACCGGCUCACUGAGUGCUGACGUCUCUUGACCUAGUGACACCAUCAACAUCUAAUUGCUUGCUGCCAUCGUCGAAGAAGAGGAAAGUUAGGCGGGACCUUUGCUCUGUAUUCAUUAAUGUUGCGGCAUUCAAAGAUUGGACUGUCGAGGACAUCCCAUGCUGCACAUGAGCACCUGACUGCUUACGAGCUUGAAACUGAUUGUGAGGAAACUCGAACUAGUUUACGGAUAAAGAAAUUUCUCGAGAAGAAUCAGACUUCUCGACUUUUGCUACUACUAUUUACGCUAUUAGGGACAAGUAUGGUCAUUGGCGAUGGUUGUUUGACCCCGACAAUCUCAGUUGUUUCAGCAGUUUCUGGACUCAGAAUUAAGCUUCCAGGUCUUCAUGAAGAUUGAGGUGUCUUCUAGUGAUCAACCCUCGUCCAGUCGAUCAAUUCGACGCUUCGAGCCAACCAGUCAAUUGGAGGACAAACUAGAAUGCAUGCACAGGAAGGUCUUCGGCCGUUUUACUGCCCGCGAGGCUAUUCUUGAUGAAGAAUUUUGGAUGACAACACCAAUAUCAAUUGAAGAUGUUCGUAGAGAGGUCAAAAUCCUCAAAGCCUUGUCCAACCAUAAUAAUCUUGUCAAAUUUUAUGAUGCAUGUAAGGAUGCACUUAACGUCUACGUAGUCAUGGAAUUAUGUGAAGGUGGAGAAUUAUUAGAAAGAAUUUUAUCCAGAGGGGGAAGGUACUCAGAGGAGGAUGCAAAAGCUAUAGUUAUUCAAAUACUAAGUGUAAUCGUCUUUUGUCAUCUUCAAGGUGUUGUGCAUCGUGAUUUAAAGCCAGAGAAUUUUCUUUUCACCACCAGAGAUGAAAAUGCUCAGAUGAAGUUGAUUGAUUUUGGCCUUUCCGAUUUUGUUAAACCAGGCGCUAUCUAAAGCCCUAACAGAGGAUCAGCUGUUUUAUCUAAGAUCACAGUUUAAGCUACUAGCACCAAACGGAGAAGGUCACAUAUCGUUCGACAACUUUCGAAUGGCCCUAUUGCAAAAUGUAACCGAGUCAAUGAAGGAGAGUAAGGUUAUUGAUAUCUUAAAUGUGGCGAGGCAUUUAUUCCUGCUGCCAUUUUUUUUGCAGUUGCUAAGUUUCUUUUGUAUGCCUCCACCAUUACCAUUACUACAGAAUUUAUAUGCUGCAGUUUUGACCUUUUGCGAGAUUAGAACAGUGGAUGUUUUAACUCAGAAAACUAGGCAUUUGAAGGUGAAAAGUGGUGAG
Zingiber officinale is the source of this 1682-nucleotide RNA transcript. It is a transcript of the gene named CDPK-related protein kinase-like, with no coding region annotated. The record is from RefSeq and is a predicted model, not a curated record. The transcript has 11 exons. NCBI's taxonomy places the organism in Eukaryota, Viridiplantae, Streptophyta, Magnoliopsida, Zingiberales, Zingiberaceae.